UUGGAAGGGCGGAGAGUCGCUUCCGUCUCGCGUUUGCGAGGCGGGGGAGGAAAGUCCGAACACCAUAGGGCGCGAUGCCGCGUAAUCUCAGGGGCGGUCUCUGACUGCCGGCCGAAGAGUACACGCGGGNNNNNCCCCGCCGAGAGGCGGGCCGACGGACAGUGCCACAGAAAAUGAAACCGCCCCGCUCUUUCUGAAACCGCCCAACCGGGGCGCGAGGCCAACGGGUUGCUGGGCGAACGGUUUUAGAAAGAGCGGGGCAAGGGUGAAAAGGUGGGGUAAGAGCCCACCGCUCCAAGCGCAAGCGCGGAGGCACGGAAAACCCCAUCGGGUGCAAGNNNNNNNNNNGGGGUAAGAGCCCACCGCUCCAAGCGCAAGCGCGGAGGCACGGAAAACCCCAUCGGGUGCAAGGCCAAAUAGGGGACCCCCGGAGCGGCCCGCUCCAGGCUCCGCACUGCGGACCGGGUCCCGGGUACUGGCUGCUAAGACAAAUGAUUCUCUCCCUUGGAGGAAGCUCCGGGGCAGACAAAAUUCGGCUUACAGCCCUUCCAAAAUC
This 556-nucleotide RNase P RNA is filed under the name Verrucomicrobiota bacterium. RNAcentral's name for it is "Verrucomicrobia bacterium RNaseP_bact_a". It matches the Rfam family "Bacterial RNase P class A". Rfam says of the family: Ribonuclease P (RNase P) is a ubiquitous endoribonuclease, found in archaea, bacteria and eukarya as well as chloroplasts and mitochondria. Its best characterised activity is the generation of mature 5'-ends of tRNAs by cleaving the 5'-leader elements of precursor-tRNAs. The record is from RNAcentral. Lineage: Bacteria; Pseudomonadati; Verrucomicrobiota.